RNAcentral lists this long non-coding RNA (241 nucleotides) under Lathyrus oleraceus (garden pea). RNAcentral's name for it is "Pisum sativum (pea) long non-coding RNA (PSAT_LNC007613)". The record is from RNAcentral. Lineage: Eukaryota; Viridiplantae; Streptophyta; Magnoliopsida; Fabales; Fabaceae.
GGUUAGGAUUCGGAAAGUUGAGAGAAGAUGAAUGAAAAAAAUUCCCUUACUUUCUUCUUCUACGUUAGAGAGUGAGGAGGAGAAUCUUUUUUUAUAUAUCAUAAAAAUGUGUUGUUGUUGUUGUCAUCUGUUUUGAGAGGAGGAAGUGAUUUUCUUCUUAUUAAAAAAAACUCAAAACAAUUUUGUUGCUGAACGUAGGAAGAAGAAGUGAGAAUGAUUUUUAUUUUAUUUUAAAAAAAAA